This is a long non-coding RNA of Homo sapiens (human), 841 nucleotides long. The record is from Ensembl. Lineage: Eukaryota; Metazoa; Chordata; Mammalia; Primates; Hominidae.
GCGACCCGACUGGUUCUGUCCGAGCCCGACGGGCCGCGCUGACCCAGCGACUGUGCCUGACUGACCACAGGAAAGCCCUGGGUGAGGAUGCCACUGAGCCCGCCUGGAGCCAGGAGCUGGUCUGCAGAAACUGCUGGGCCUGUUUCUACUCUGAUGUUUACUUGGCCUGGAGGCCCAGUGUGAUGAAACCCGGCCCUGUUGCCGAGCACCUUGGGAAGCCUCCCUCCAGGGUCCCUCUGUGCUCAGACAGUGGCCCUUUGUAGAGUGGAGGAGCAGACUGAAAGCGGAGCUGCUGGAAACCGUUUCCUCCCCUCUGCCUCGAGCAACCUCCUCCCGCAGCCACAGACCAUCCUGUGCCUGGGUGGCCUCUGCUUUAAGUCUGCAGCUGGCGGGGGAGGAGACUGUGCACAAUCAUGGAGGGCAGUGGCAAGUCUGGUGGAGAGGGAAGGAGGUCAGGAAAUAAACGAGAGAGGAAAAUUAAGAGAGUGGGUAUCAGGCAGAUUUCUGGGUGAGGCCCAGAGGAGCAUUUUUAUUCAUCCAUCCAUUCAACAAGGGACUAUGUCUUAUCCAACUUGUAUCCCUAGAGUAUAACACAACAUCUGCAUAUAAGACAGAAAGUCAGUGGAUUCAAAACGAUGAAAGUGGAUUCAAAACCUCUGUCAAGGGGUGCUGUCCUUUCCUGGCCAAGUCUCUUUUAUUCUCUUAGGGCUGCAACCUCUUCACCUGGGAAAUGAAUGGUCCUGUGAUUUACAAGAGCAGGGUCCAGGCUGAAGGUGCAGGCCCUAUCCAAGACACAACAUUUCCAGUGGCAGAGAUAAAAAAGUAAGAUUUCAGACUCAAA